Non-coding RNA from Chrysemys picta bellii (western painted turtle), 3023 nucleotides. Lineage: Eukaryota; Metazoa; Chordata; Testudines; Emydidae. The record is from RefSeq and is a predicted model, not a curated record.
AUCACAUUCAGUAUGAAAGGGGCUCAGACGACUAUGUCUUGUCUCUGGGCCAGAAAACCAUGUGGUCAAAUUCCACAGCAAGACUUGAUUAUUUACAAAUCCUUAACUAGUUGAGUAUUGCAUAGUUAGUGGUCCCAUCUCUGGAGUCUCUUCUGCCCAUUUCUGAUAUAAUUUGGUAAUAGAACACAAGUAAAAGGAUUAUUGUAUUUGUAAUGAAGAUCUCAGAUAAAACAGUUCUCAAAUUUCAUUAAGAACCUCUAUGUUAUUAUAGCGUAUUACAUUACCACCUGCCAAAGCUCAGUGGGUGGUCUCUAAAGACCUAUGCAGUCAGGAAUCCCAGAUUCCUACAAUCCUGUCAUGACUGUCUAUAUCCACUGUUUCCAAUUUCCCUUCUUUUGCAGACAGCUGCUUUGAAAAAUAAUUCCCAUGUUAGCGGUCACAUUAAGAUUUUGGGUCCCAGCCUCUCUGCUGCAGUUUUGAAUCCUGAUCUAACCUGCCUAUCAGGUCCACUAACAGAACACGACCACAGUCCACAGCACCUGUCUCUUGAGAUUGACUUAACACCAGCUAAUGAAAAUGAAUUUGUAAUUUUCAUACUUAAUUCUGAUCAAUAAGGCUGGAAUCAAAGAAGAGGUUACUCAUCUGGUUCAGUAACUGGAGUUCUUCAAGAUGUAUGUCCCUAUGAGUGCUCCCCGCACAUACACUCCAGACAUCCUCAUGCUCUGUACCAAGGAUAUAUACAGCUGCAUGGGCAAAUUGCACGAAGUUCCUUCUCUACCCCAAAGUCCCAUGAGAUGAAAUUCUGAAGCAGAAGGGAAGUAGGGUGAGUAGGGGAGCACCCAUAGGGACACAUCUUGAAGAACUCCAUACCCCGCACAAGGUAACUUCUCUUUCUUCUUCAAGUAGUGUUCCUAUGAGUCCUCCACUUCAGGUGAUUUCCAGAAAAAGGAGGGGGAUUUGUUAAGACAGAACUGCACUGCCAACCGCAGCAUCUAUUCCAGAAGCGUGAACCAAGGCCCAAUGCUUGGAGAAGUCUUCAAAGGGAGAGAGGUGUGUGGGACGAUACAGCUGAAGACUCACAAGGUGGGAAUGUUCUGGACCCUCAGCUAAACCGUCAAAAUCGACAGCAGAAUGAAAAGGACAGCUGGGUCAUGGUAGCAAUUAUGGUGCAUAUAUCCUGAGGGACCUGAUAGUGGUCCUGGAAUCUCUCAAAGUAUGUAGACAUUCAUUGGUGGACUCAGAGGAGAGUUCAAGUCCAUCAAAAGGAAGGUCUUUGAUGGUGAUUUGGACCUCCCCCAGGAAACCGAGACAGCUAUAUAGCCAGGAUGACUGGUAGAGAUGGAGGGGGCUGUAGUCUUGGCUGCAACUCGGGAGGGAGUACAAAAAUACUGGUCAAGCUGCAGUACUUGAAAAUGCUAUCCAGCUGGACUUUAUUCAUGUUGUGAGAGAAACACUAAGAGCACAGACAAAUUGGACUUUGAAGCUUAAAAGAUGUUACUAUUCUGAAAACCUGGAUUUAUAACACCCAGUUUAAGUGUGAGACAUAAUUCCCUCCCACUUAAACCCUUACAUAAAGAGCUGAAUGAGCUUUAAUUAUGGCACAAGUAAAUUUAAUGCAUUCACUGAAAAACCAAAAGGAAUAGACAACUAAUUUUUUUUAUACUAAAGCAGAAAAAAACAAGAGGAAAGGAUUCCUCCAGUGUUCAUUGAUCUCGACUGUCCAAAAUUUAAUAGGAACCUGAUCAGGCUAUUAGGUUCCACAGCAUCCUACUCAGACAUUUAAAAGCAGGCCAUUACAGAAGAAGCUAGUAGGUUACAGACUAGAGGAGCAAGUCCUCUAAUAAUUUAUUUUAUAACAUUUUUACUAAUCUGAUGUUUCACAAAAACUGGUUUUGUUAAUUUAUUUGAAGCACUGUAGGUACUGUCAGAUUUAUUUUCUCACUUCUAAUGCCUUUAUUCUGAGCGUGUUAAGGGGUGCUCUCUGUAUUAUGUGUAGCAAGUUAAAGGAAACACCCCCAUUUGAGAAUGUCUCUGUUAUUAAAGAUUUUACUACUGUCUUUCCUUAAAGCUCUGUUUUUCCAUGCCUAAUUUGUGGAAUUUCAAAUACUUUGUCUGUACUCAGAGGAAUACCUGGAACAGCAAAGUGACAACUGAGUUACUUGUACAAAUUAAAGGACAGAAUUUGGAUAUCAAAAAUGAAGGACUCAACCAUCAAAAAGGUUCUGGAAGAUCCAUCAUCUUUGUCUAUAAGAUAUUUUAACUCUGCUUUUAUGAAUUUUUUGUACCUUGGCUACUCAUCUCACGCUAAGUGCCUCCUAGUGCUGGCGUGCUGUUCCUUUCUCACACUCCACCCCUGCUCUCUUGACAGUACUUCCCACAGCAAAAAUGAGGUGGGACAGUUAUUGAGUUUGUCCAUACAAAGCAGCCAGAGUACAGCAGUGGGACCCUACGACCCACUCAGUGCCAACUUGCAAAGAGUUCACAUCUAUCAGGCUUGGACAAACUGACAACAGUUAGCACACUGUUUUCAUAGUAUUUAUCCAAAAAGGGUUGCGUGAGGUGUCUAAUAAAAGAUUAAGCAUUGUAAGCCAACACAAUGGAAGGCUGUUUUGCGUAUGGAGUCAACACAAGGAUGUGAAAACAACUUGGACCCAGAACACCAGGAAAGGAAUCAUGGGGCUAUCCUGACUCUGGGGAUAAAAUAAUGAGUUUUGGGAAAUAAGGAGAUGCAAAAGGACAUUUUGUUAUCCAUCACUGAGGGAGCAAAAAGGACAGUGCUUUUUUAAUUCAUGAAAGGUGGAUCCCAGCCACAUUGGUGACACAUUAGUAAUGCUGGGAGAUUGCUUAGGUGAGAAACUACUUUAGGCAAGGAUUUUAGCCUGUUAAAGUUAAGUUUAGACUUAAGAAGUGUGUUAUACUUUUUUGUUUGACGUGUAACCAUUUCUGUCCAUUAUCCUUACUCAAUAUCCCUUAAAUCUUUAUCUUUGAUAAUAAACUUAUGAUUGUUUUCACUAUAACUAUAU